This 693-nucleotide ribosomal RNA is filed under the name uncultured bacterium. RNAcentral describes it as "bacterial SSU rRNA". It matches the Rfam family "Bacterial small subunit ribosomal RNA", at positions 8 to 694 of the family's 1533-position model. The record is from RNAcentral.
AGAGUUUGAUCCUGGCUCAGAUUGAACGCUGGCGGCAUGCUUUACACAUGCAAGUCGAACGGCAGCAUGGGUGCUUGCACCUGAUGGCGAGUGGCGGACGGGUGAGUAAUGCAUCGGGACGUGUCUGUAAGAGGGGGAUAACUGUUCGAAAGAACAGCUAAUACCGCAUAAUAUCCGAGGAAGAAAGCUGGGGACCUUAGGGCCUGGCGCUUACAGGGCGACCGAUGUCUGAUUAGCUAGUUGGUAGGGUAAAAGCCUACCAAGGCGACGAUCAGUAGCUGGUCUGAGAGGACGACCAGCCACACUGGGACUGAGAAACGGCCCAGACUCCUACGGGAGGCAGCAAUGGGGAAUUUUGGACAAUGGGGGCAACCCUGAUCCAGCAAUGCCGCGUGUCUGAAGAAGGCCUUCGGGUUGUAAAGGACUUUUGUUGGGGAGCAAGGUGCACAGGUUAAGAGCUAGUGUACUUGAGAGUACCCAAAGAAUAAGGACCGGCUAACUACGUGCCAGCAGCCGCGGUAAUACGUAGGGUCCAAGCGUUAAUCGGAAUUACUGGGCGUAAAGAGUGCGCAGGCGGCUUUGUAAGCUUGAUGUGAAAUCCCCGGGCUCAACCUGGGAACUGCAUUGAGGACUGCAAGGCUAGAGUGUAGCAGAGGGGGGUAGAAUUCCACGUGUAGCGGUGAAAUGCGUAGA